This is a non-coding RNA of Schizosaccharomyces pombe (fission yeast), 860 nucleotides long. The record is from the annotation of a GenBank genome assembly. Lineage: Eukaryota; Fungi; Ascomycota; Schizosaccharomycetes; Schizosaccharomycetales; Schizosaccharomycetaceae.
AAUUACCCUAUGCUGUUAAAGUUAGUAUUAUCAUCUUAAAGCAACUAAUAAAGUACCUGCUACGCCUAUAAAGCUCGUAAUACUGCGACAUGUACAAAUAAUUUCUUGUUCAAGGCUCUUCAAGUGGUUGGAAGAGGACAAGUGAGGUUUCUACCAUUAGCCCCCAUCGUGGACAAACUACCUUUCAGGUCCUUAAAUGAGAUUACGAAUUUAAUUACUGCGUAUUUUUUAAAUAACGGAUGAUAAGGUAAAAGCAUUAAAUAUGGUUGCUGCCUAAGAUAGUUCUGUAUGUUUUGGAAAGACAAGAAGAUAAAUGAGAUACAUACGUACGUGUGAAAAACAAUGAGCUAUAGAUUUGUUCACCUAUUGACAACGCCAUUCAAUUACCAAGGAGCAUUUAUAGCGACCUCUCUCAAAUUAUUACUUUCCAAAAGCAAUGCACGAUUAAAACAACAAUUGUAUAUAUUUAAUAAAUGCUUUUUCUUUAAGCCAUUUCAGAAAAAGAAGAAGCUAUCGAGAUCAGUAGUAAUUAAAUAACUUUCUAAUUUACACAAUGGCCAAUCACCAACAAGCGGGAAUAAAAACAAGAUGAGCCAACUUGUUGAAAGCACGGAAAUUUUUUUAAAUGCAUCCUAUUAAGCAUAAUCGAACGAUAAUUUUAGUAAAUAGGAAUUCCCUAUUGCAAAGGAGGGAAGCCUUAGACAAUCUAAAGUAUUGUGUAUUUUAGGACCGAAUGUAAUAUCCAAUAUGUAUCCAUGCCAGCAUGAAAUAAUGUAUAAACAUUAGCAGAUGUUUAACUGAAACACCACAAGAGCGGAAAACAGGUGCGCUUUAUAAAGCAACAAAGAAAGACUUAACCA